GGCACAGCUAUGACACUAUAGUGGGUCGUAUUAACGAAUGCACCCUUCGGACCGGUGAGUAACGCUUGCGAAUCUAGCCUUCCGAGGGGAAUGAGUCCUGGAAACCGCGGGACAUACGCCCCAUGUUCGAGAGGUGAAGAAGAUUUCUAACUAAGGAAGAGCUCGCGGCUGAUUAGCUAGUUGGUAGGAUAAAAGACUACCAAGGCAACGAUCAGUAGCUGGUUUGAGAGGACGAUCAGCCACACUGGGACUGAGACACGGCCCAGACUCCUACGGGAGGCAGCAGUGGGGAAUCUUCUGCAAUGGGCGAAAGCCUGACAGAGCAAUACCGCGUGAGGGAUAAAAGCCUGAGGGUCGUAAACCUCUUUUUUCAGGGAAGAAAUUUGACGGUACCUGAAGAAUAAGCAUCGGCUAACUCCGUGCCAGCAGCCGCGGUAAUACGGAGGAUGUAGCGUUUCCGGAAUCACUGGGCGUAAAGCGUCUGUAGGUGGCUUUUCAGUCUGCUGUUAAGACUGAGGCUUACCUCAGAAAGCAGCGGAUCUGACAAGCUAGAGCAUGGUAUGGGUAAAGGGAAUUCCCAGUGUAGCGGUGAAUGCGUAGAUAUUGGGAAGAACCCUGUGGCGAAAGCGCUUUACUGGACCAUUGCUGACACUGAGAACGAAGCUAGGGAGCAAUGGGAUUAGAUCCCCAGUAUCAGGGCGAUUCGCGGCCGCUAAAUUCAUUCCCCUUAUGGUCGUAUAAUGGGGAU
RNAcentral lists this ribosomal RNA (748 nucleotides) under uncultured phototrophic eukaryote. Its description in RNAcentral is "bacterial SSU rRNA". It matches the Rfam family "Bacterial small subunit ribosomal RNA", at positions 60 to 846 of the family's 1533-position model. The record is from RNAcentral.